CCUACGGGGUGCAGCAGUAGGGAAUAUUGCUCAAUGGGGGAAACCCUGAAGCAGCAACGCCGCGUGGAGGAUGAAGGUCUUCGGAUCGUAAACCUCUGUCAGCAGGGAAGAACGGUCACUGUGCUAAUCAGCAGUGAAUUGACGGUACCUGCAAAGGAAGCACCGGCUAACUCCGUGCCAGCAGCCGCGGUAAUACGGAGGGUGCGAGCGUUAAUCGGAAUUACUGGGCGUAAAGCGCUCGUAGGCGGUAUGUCAAGUCAAGGGUGAAAUCCCCGCGCUCAACGUGGGAACUGCCUUUGAAACUGGCAAACUGGAGUGUGUGAGAGGAUAGUGGAAUUCCAGGUGUAGGAGGGAAAUCCGUAGAUAUCUGGAGGAACAUCAGUGGCGAAGGCGACUAUCUGGCACAUAACUGACGCUGAGGAGCGAAAGCGUGGGUAGCAAACAGGAUUAGAUACCCGAGUAGUC
Molecule: ribosomal RNA, 465 nt
Filed under: uncultured bacterium
Lineage: Bacteria
Description: partial 16S ribosomal RNA
Rfam family: Bacterial small subunit ribosomal RNA
Source: RNAcentral